Molecule: RNA transcript, 8809 nt
Organism: Colius striatus (speckled mousebird)
Lineage: Eukaryota; Metazoa; Chordata; Aves; Coliiformes; Coliidae
Gene: RPAP2
Gene name: RNA polymerase II associated protein 2
Exons: 14
Source: RefSeq, a predicted model, not a curated record
AGGAGGCUGACGGCCGCGAUUAUGGCGGCCGGGAAGCCGCAGGGCGGCGCGAAGGACAAGUCUGGCCGGCAGCGCGCAGGAAAUAAGCAUUCGACUUUCCUUAAGAAUGAAGAUGCUGCUCAAAGGAGAGUAGCUCUGGAGGCUGCUCUGAGAAAGAAGAUUGAAUUUGAAAAGAAAGCAUUGUAUAUUGUUGAACAACUCCUGGAAGAAAACAUUACUGAAGAGUUUCUUCUGAAUUCUGGAAAAUGCAUUACUCCAUCACACUACAAAGACGUUGUUGAUGAACGGUCCAUCAUCAAGUUAUGUGGUUAUCCUCUGUGUCAAAAUAAACUGGAAAAUGUGCCAAAACAGAAGUACAGAAUUUCAACAAAAACGAACAGAGUUUAUGAUAUCACUGAAAGAAAGUGCUUUUGCAGCAACUUUUGCUACAGAGCAUCUAAAUAUUUUGAAGCUCAAAUUUCCAGAAGUCCAAUAUGGAUGCGAGAGGAAGAAAAACCACCAGACAUAGAGCUGCUGAAGGAAGGACAGAGUGGACAGUCUGGAGAAGAAGUGAAACUAUGUGAUGAAGCAAUUAAAGCAUCUGACAUUGAAAAUCCUGGGAUAUCUUCAAACCCAUAUGAAUCUGGUUCUCAUGACACAACCAGUGACAGCAGUAGUGAUACUGAACAAGAAUUUGUUUCUUCUGUCCUACCAGGAAGUCAGUCAAGUUCAGACAGUUCUGCACAGCAGUUGCACAGAAAGAGCAUCCUCAAAAACAAGCAUGCUGAGAAAGUCUAUUCCAGCCUGAAAACUGAAGGCUCAUCUGUGAUAGAAGCCACUGAACAACUUUCUAAUUUACAAUUAAAUGCUCAAGAAGAAAUGCGUGCUCACCCUGUUGAUCAUAAAACAACUGCAAUGCCUUUAAAAAGUACUACUCUAGGGAAAUCAAGUUCAGAAAGCUAUGAAAGUACCUGUGGUUCACAGAUAGUUUUUCUAGGUGUGAGCAAAAGAGGGGCAGAACAUCUUAAAAGAGCACUAGCUAACUUACAAGAACGUAGGAAACCUGAAGUGAGGCAUCCAGUUAAUUACAAAGGCAGUUUAUUAGAAGUGCUCAAGCAAACGCUUAUGGAAUGGAGAACUGAGGAAACUUUAAAAUUUCUCUAUGGCCCAAACUAUACUUUGUGUUCAUCAGAGGGUGUAUCAUCUCCCAAACAGGAAUAUGAAGAACUUGAUGAGGAUGACUUGGAUGUAGCUGAUGACCUUAACACUGUUGCUGUAGGGGAGUCUGAAAACAGUUUGAACUAUUCUUUACCUUUCACAGGCCCAGGUGGAAUAGUUAAACCUCUACCUAGUUAUGAAAAGUUAAAAGAAGAAACAGAGUUUCUGGAACUGCGAGUAAAGGAAUUCUAUAAAGGGAAAUGCAUCUUGGCUGAAGAGGUGAUGACACAUGCACAAACAGAGGAACAUCCAAGCAAAGACCAAGAUGAUCAGCAGGAAGAUCUCGCCUUCCCACUUGUUGAUUCAAACGCACAAAUGCAGAUUAGAAAGCGAAUCGUCCUUGAAAAACUGAGGAAAGUAUUGCCUGCAGUUUUGGGUCCUCUCCAGGUUGCUCCAGGUGAUGUUUACACAGAGCUAAAAAACCUUGUCAAAACUUUCCAGUUAACAAACAGAAAUAUUAUUCACAAAAUGCCUGAAUGGACUCUAAUUGCCAUUGUUUUGGUGUCCGUGUUGUCACACAGUACUCCACUUUUCAAGAAUAUUCAGACGAGCCCAAUGUACACACAGUUCCUGACUACGUUGCUGGAAGAACUGCAUUUCAAAAGUGAAGAUCUGGAGAGUUUAACAAGGAUAUUUAACAAGGACUGCCUACUUGAACGAUUAAGGUGACCGUCUUAAUAUUUCCUGCCAUCUGAAAUAGCGGCACAGAGAACAAAAGAACACCUUCAAUUGUUGUAACUUUUUUAAACAUAAGAAUGAAAUUGAGUAUUAAUUGUACUUCUUGCAUUUCUACUUCUUCAUUUCCUUCCUAUGAAUAAGAAUUUUGAAGUCACAUGGAGAAGCUGACAGUGACAGCAGUUGUUCAAGGUAUGCAUUAGGGAAAAACACCCAUUGUGAUCAGUCUGUGUCUGAUGGCAAACUCAUAGGAAUGCAUGAUGUAGUCUGAUGUACCAUGAUGGAAAACUUUCUCCUUGAUACAUAUGCAAAGAAGGGUCAAGACCUCACCAAAAGAUAAGCUCUUAGAAGACAGAGUAAUAGCUGUGAUACUCUGACCAAAAAAACUUGAAUUUACGUUCACCUGCUUCUGAUUUUGGAAGGUAAAUGUAUUUUUAGCUACUGUACAUUCUGAGCUAGCCAUUAUACUGUUCCAUGUGCCUUUUCCUUGGGGCAUAAAGAUCACAAAUACCCCCUGACAAUGCCACUGCAUUGAGUACACCUAGAAGGUAUUACAAAUGUACAUCAUACCAGGAAUAGGACUGUGUUUCAUCAGGUUUAAUGUCUCUCAUUUGGAAAGUUUUUACACUUCCUGUCAGUUUAGGGGUGUGAUUUUUUUUUUGUUAGUUAUUUUUAGGCUUGGUCUUCAGCACUUACUGUGUAGGAAACGUAUGAUCUUGUACUAAGAGUGAAUAGGUCACAAGCCCAAAAGACCUCUUUAUCAGAGUUCAUUGCAGCUGCUUUUACUCUCUGCCUUAACAGCUCAAAAAAGUAAGCUCCCAGGAUUUUUGCAUCUCCUCCUUGGCUGCUGUGUAGUAAGCUCACUCAUUCUUUUCCUUGCCCUAAGAGAACAGAAUAGCCUUUCUCCUCCUAUGACCUCUUCACCAGAGCAGAAGAAUUCUAUAUAUGCUGGAAGUGUUGUGAAGGGAUAUUCUUCUCUUAACCUUUAAUGAUUUCAUUUCCCUUAGAUGGGAGUACAACGUGUAAAUAAAUGCAGAAAGUAUGCAUAUACCAAUUACUUUUGAGUAGGAUAAAGGCUGUAGACUCAUCUCUAACGGAUCGUUUGUACUAUCAGCCUUAAGUGCUUGUGCAGAGAGCCUAACAGCACCAAAAACUAAGUUCAUCUAUGUAGUUUUCUUAUGAGCAUGUUUUGUAACAGCUUAGAAGUGUUCAAAUCUAGACCUCAUUUAUGAGCUUAAAGCCAACUUCUGCCACAGCUUUCUGUCCUUUAGCAGACUUUACUCUUCCUCAGCUCACAUGUGGACCCCUCCUUGUUUUGAUUGUGUUUAGAGACACGUUGUUUCCUUGUGGCCUUGCUGCUGUGCUGGCUGUUUUUCCUUCCUCCGGUAGUUGAGCAGAUGGGCAGUGUUUGAGCCUUAUUUCACAUGUGCAAAAUUGUAGUUACUGACUUGUGAGCGGCAGGCUGUAUGGACAUUAUAGAUCUGUGGCUUAGGCCUCUGUUUCUGAACACCUCUCAGAAAGGGGCAUGAGCUUGGUAAAGUUAUCAACUGCUUAGAUCAUAGCCGCAGGAGUCCGCUGCUGUGACAGCGUAAAACAUCCGAGCCUGUCCGGCAGUGGACUUGUAGCAGGGCAAAUAUGGUAUGAUGUGUUUCUUUUAAUAGGGGAAACCAGACUUCCACAGAGUUUUGUUUUUUUUCCUGACAUGUAUAAUGGAUACAGUAAAGAGUAGAAGAAUACUUCAAGUUAAAGCUUAGAGCAAAGCCUGCUUUAUGCUAUCAGAGCUUCUCAGCAUCAUAGGAGGAAUGUGACAUAUUCCUGCAUAGUGCAGAUACAGAUUUCCUACCAAGUUUUCUAUUGAUGAAGAGAAGAGUGUUCAUAAAACCAUAUACACAGAGAAAGUCAAACUGUUCAAAGUUAUUCAAAGCAGUCUUAGUGCUGCCCAGAGAGAUGGAGAGAAAGUGUUUGUGUCUAUUUUCACACCAAAUUUCAGCUCACAGCCUGUAAAUACAGUCAGUGUGCUUUGUCAUACUGGAUUUCCUCGCACAGAGCGUUUCACUGCCCGUUGACCAAGCUUGCUGAUUUCUCAUGGAUUUUGGAGGGAAGAAGAGUAUUCAGAGUGAUUCCCUUGAUAGUCACUCUUUCAAGAAAGUGGGCAAGUCAUAAUGUAACGUGUGAAUUAGCAAGUACUCAAAGACAUUACCUUGCAAAUCAUGUUAUGUGGUAAUGCAAAAUUCUACAUUGAAGCAAACAGAAGAGAGUUUGAUUUAUUUCACUGAAGAUUAUCAAAAAGUCUCUAUUGUGGUUUGGGGGUGGGGGGAGGAAUAACAGUCCUGUGAAUCUUGGUGUUGAACCUGCAUGCCCUAGUCUUCUCUGGCUUGUUUGAGAGAAGCUGGACUCUAGAAAAUGCAAGAGGGGAUGAGCAGCUCAGCUGGACACCAAGUCUCCACUGACCUUUAACUGCCAAAGAGAAAAGAAGAAAAAGGAAGAGAGAAGGGGAAAGCAGUAUUCACACUUCUAAAUUUAGGCAUCCAACCUUAGGUAUGUGCCUGUCUUCAUUUACUUCAGAGAGAAACAGUGCUCUUUAAUUUCUCCAAACCAUGCUUCAAUGCAAUGAAUGGAGUGGGUGGUGUUAAUGGCUCUGCCCCUGUUCCCUGGUGGCAGAAAGCAAGCAGAAAAGUCACCUGAGAAUGUUGGCUGUUGUGAACCGGUUCUCCUUGAAGUGAUUUAUUCAUAAAGCAUGGCACAAAACCGAAUGGGGAUGUUACACUGUAGUUCUACAGUUUUCCUCUCAGCUUUCCAUACUUUCUGUUUAUUUCUGUAGUUGCUUAUGAACAACCAGCACAGUGGGUGGGGUUUAGCUUGAUCUCACUGGGGUAACAGGUAAUACUGAACUGUCAUUUCCACUGAGCAUUAAGUAUUAAAUAUUGAAAACACAGAAUCAGCCUCUCUUUAGCAAGUCUUAAGUUUCCAUAAGCAGCAGAUGGUACACAAGGCAGGGCUUGGCAUCUAUAAAGACCUCUGUUUCUCAACUGCAUAUCUCUGCCACCUGACAGCCAGUUGUCCUCUGAUUAGAGUCAGAGGAAGUGGGUGUGCCCAGGCAGAAAGUAAAAGGAAAAAAAAAACUUAAGUAGCAAAGACAGAAAGUAAUAUUGCUGGAGACUUUUUGUCUUGUGAGCUUUCUUUUUGUGACUCUUCGACUCAGAACCGCAUCUCUGCACAGGCUGCAGACGGUGCUCUGGGAGAUGGGCUGACUGAAAGAUGCUGUAGAACACAAACUGUGGCAUUUGUGGUGCUAAACAGGAUUUGGUGAGGUGAAGGGAGGGCUGGAAACCUGUCUCUUCAAAUAGCUUUCAUUUGAGCACUCGAGUUCAAAAAGCAAGUGAAAGCAUGAGUUGCCUCAGUGGCUGAUCUGGACUUGUGUGCUAAACAUUAGUCCUUCCCUCUUGGUUGCUUGCAGCUGUAGAGCAAGCAGCAAGGCAACCCAGAGUUCUGGGAAAAAUAGAGAAGACUAGCCAAAAAGUGUGAGAAACAAGCACAGGCCUUUUUAAACCCUUCUUGCCCUAGGAAAUAGGCGAUACUGUGAGAUACCUUUUGGGCAUUCUCCUCUGAACAGUUUCCUCAGUACAGCAUCAUGUUUGAGGCAGCUUUAAUGGUUGUGGCAGGGCUGGAAAGGCCAGGAACUUUCUGACUACUGUUUGAGGUCUAUAGUCCAGAUUUAUCUUCACCCUGACUUUGUGACCAUAGUUGAAUGAGCAGACUUAAGUCCUACACUUAAGAAGACUUGUCAGUCAGAAUAAUGCAGGAAAUGUGGCCCCUGUAACAUAUCAGCUCUUUGCUGGUUGUACUGUGCUGUCCUGCAGUUAAUCCCAAGACAACAGCUCCAUAAUGAGUCCCUUCUCCAAAAACAGACUAAGGCUGGUACACUGAUUAUAAGACAGUCACAUCUUCCCCUUCUUAGACAUUAGUCACCAGAAAGCUUUGGCAAAGCCUUUAGUACCUUUUUAGAUGCUGUGAUUACCUGCAAGAGCUGCUUGCAAAGAUCAGAGAACAAAGCCAGGGAGGCUGCUGACUGUUAUAUCUUGCACCAUUGCAAUCCACAUCAAAUCAAUGCCAUUUCUGGCACAUUUUAGCCUCUUAAAUGUCAUGGGGUAAAUAACUGAAUUGAAAACAUAGUGGGACAGCAGCAGCUUCUUGGAGUCCUACAGUUUGAUUAGUCAUCACUACAGAGUUUGAAACACUUUGGAUGCAGCUUUAAUAAGCUGCAAACGAUUAGAUCAGGAUUUGCAUCAUAAAUAUUGCCUUUUCAUUCUACUGAAAUGGGAGUGCCUACAAAUCAGGUUAAUAUAAUUGAACAGUACAGCAGUUAAGUAACAAAAUAUAUCAAAGUUGGUAGUAUUACCUAGGAAGCCAGAACAACCCAGCUUACAGCUGCCAGCUAAGAUCUGACUCACCUAAGGUAUUUUAUAGCAACCAUAUGUUAGGCACAUCUCUCUCGCCUAUUAGGCAGAAAAAUGAUAACGUUUCCUAAUCAGGAUUUGCCACUGAGCAGGAUUUUCUGUAAACAUCUCAGUACUGCAAGCACUCUGCACAGUCAGGAGAAAGCCUUUUGCAGACACUCAGUUUGUUAAUUUAACAAAUAGAAUAAAUGGCUGCAAAUCUGUGGCCAGUACUGAUUCAGCAAAGCUGGCUGCAGUUCAAAGUGUAGGCAUGUUACUGACAUUAAAACAUCACACAGGGAUUCUGUGUUAGUAACUGCAGAAUACCUGCACUUCUUGGAAAAACAAGCCCUGGGUGUUUCAAAUUGAAGAUGUGGUCUUAAUCUCAGGAACAGCUAGUUGAUAAAUUAAGGAUACUUUCAUGGAGAGGGAGCAAACAAAGUCAGAAAGCCAGAGAGCCACAUCAGUACAGGAGACAGAGUUUAAAAUUAAGUUUGAAAAUAUUAAGAAGUCUUUUGCUAACAAUGCUGUUGGUGAAGUUACACUACUCUGUGUUUUAACAAAGGCAGACACUGUUGUAAACCCUGCUGGCUGUUUAUUUAUGAGCAAGUUUUACAUCCAGUUCACUUUUACACAGAAACCUGGCUGAGGCUACACCCCUCUGCAGUCUGACUUAGUCCUUGCACAAAGGUAGCUUAUGGAUCCAUCAGCCUUAACUCUUCCUAGGCUCCUGCUGUAGUAUCCCAGUAGUCUAAAGGAGUAAUAUGGGGGAUGGAGCUGCAGUCCCAACACUCCCUUCUGUUCUCAAAAGGGCAGUUGUUCUACCGCCUAAAGCUCUGAUGAUAAAACUCCUGUUGAUGCAAAUGAGAACAAACUGCUGUCUUGGUAAUGAUGUACCUUGUUUGGGAAUCACAGUCUCUUUAUUUUUUUUUUUAAGAGAAGUCCUUCACUUAAAAGCUUUCUUGAGUAUGUUCUUUUAACUGUGGGCUCUUACUGAAUAAAAACAAUAAAAGCAAAGUAGAUUUUUUUUGCUGCUGAAGAUCCUCAGUCUAUUGUAAAAUUUCACAACUAGAAAUACAGUUAAAUUGUUUCUCCCUUAAGAUAGUUUUUCUAGAGGGUGUGGGAAAACUGGGGAAGUUAGUGAUUUUACAGAUACUACACUAGCCCUCAAAGCUCUGAGUCAAAUACACAUCAUCUUUGCUAACUAUUCAUUUCUGAGAUCCUCCCAAGCUCUGCGUUUUUUAUACAGUGAACAUCUGAUGCUUCUUGUUUUUCUUCUGUAACCACAGAUGUGCCCUCUUCAAAAAACUCACAAUCUCAAAAUACUAAACUGACAAGCUGAGUGUCAAACCACACACCCCAAGCAGCAAGCAGUGCUGAAGAAAAACAGAAUCACGCUUGAAGAAAAGCAGGAGAAAUCACGCAAGUUGUUUCCAAAGAACGAAUGUGAAACAUUUUCAACGCAGUGGAGGCAUUGUUUCUUCAGAAUGCAAAUGCCAUUUGAUGCUUUUAAUUUUUGUGCUCACUUACUAGAUAAGCAGAGACUGCUCUCAGAAAGAAGACAUCAAUUUGAACAGUGCUUUGUAUUUUCUUGUUAGGAUGAGUUUUAUCUCUCUGACCUAAACUGGAGCCUUGCUCCAGGAUGCCCAAAAGCAGCCCAGGUGUUCCUGUGCAAGCUGGGUAAGCAAGGCCUCUUGACUGGGAACAUGUGGUUUGCGUGCACCACAGAGCCUCUCUGCAGCAGAGUCCCCAUGUGUUGCUUGCUGAGAGAACACCAGAGAGCUAGACAGGAGCUGUGCAAAGCUCCUGUUGUGAGCAAGCAGGCCCACAGCUGCCCAUUUGCUGUAGCAGGUCCCUACGUGACAGAAGGCCACUCAAGCACAGAGGAGUUAAGUGAUUUGUCCAGAUCUUCAUGGGCAGGCAGGACCUACAACUCUUUCAGCUGUAGUGCCUAUCUGUAAGCCAUCCUCCACCCACUGCAUGGACUGAUGUGGGACAAGAUUUGUUUCCCAGUGAUCUAGUGCUGAGGUGCCACAGAUUUUAACUCAGUGAUAAUGCUGUGAGUUAUCUAAACAGCCUCAUGACACUGUCCUGCAAAGAGUGAUGUGUUGAAGCCAUAGAAGGGGUCAUUUUCAUGAUGAAAAGAUAUGUAAGGCCAGCUAGCUGCUUGAUCAAACUAUCAGGCACUCUUCACGCUUUGCAGCAUGCCGUCUGUCACCUUGUCUCUACAACUACAAAUUUGCCAUAGCAAAAAGGAAAAAAGUUAAAAUGUAAAAGCAUAGUUACCUGUGUGUAUUUAGCUGCCUCAAAGACUCUCUGUCAAUACACAACUGUAAGUGCUGUUGGGCAAGUUUCAGUAAAUGAAACAUCCACUUUUUAAGCUGGUGAUUCAAAGGUAAAAUACUGACCUCCAGUUUUGGUACUUGACUGUGGGUCUGUGUAAGAGUAAUGCAGGAUUCUGGGUUACAUCAUUUAUAUUUUGAGAGUUUGAGCAAAAAAAA